AUGAGGCCAUGAUUGGAUUUUGAAUUAGAGGAAACUUCACGGUGGGACAAAUAAUUGGAGAAUAUAGUCAAAAGGACAUGACAAGGAAGCUUCGUUGUUUCUUGGCCUAAUUAAUUAUGAGGUUGAAACCAUGGAGGGCUCAAAAAUCUAAGAGAGAUGGAGAGAGAAUGGGGGCAUGGAAUCUGAAUUGAGGGGCCUAUACACAUUUUUUUCGGAACCAUGGACCACACAUUUCUCUCUAUAAGAAGCCCUCUUGAGCUCCAUUUAUAACACUGCUUCAAGUGGUUUCAACUUUCAACACACACACACAGAGACAUACAUAUCUGUCUCUCUACACUACAAAGUGUAAGCUUGCAUAGACACAAAGAUGAGCAGAGAUUCCACGAGGGCUUCAAAGAAGAAGGUUUCAUGCAGAAGGCUUGGAGGGUAUCUCAAAGAGCAAAAAGGAAGACUAUACAUAAUCAGAAGAUGUGUAGUCAUGCUACUCUGCUGGCAUGACUAGAUACAAUCAUUCUCAAAAGUUUAACGUUUUUCUUUGCUCAUACCAUGGAUCAGCACACACCAGAUUCCUCAAAGCCAUGGUCAAGGAUCAAAGUUCAAGCAUGCAGACAAAGAAUAUAUAUAUAUAUAUAUAUGUUUUGCUAGCUAGCUCUUUAUUAUUAAUUCCCUAUGUAAAUAGCAGAGAAAGUAACGUUCCUUCAUAUAAAAGAUGUAUGUUCUCUACGUGCAAAGAGGCUAAUUAAUAUGGCAAUGAAGUAAAAGUUUCAGUUUCCAUUCUGCACUUGGAGUAGUACUACUUGGAUUUGUUUGUUUUUAAUGAAGAACUUGUGUAGUUUGGAAGAGUUAAUGAUUAUAUAUAAUUGGCAUAUUUUGU
This is a non-coding RNA of Vigna umbellata (rice bean), 874 nucleotides long. The record is from RefSeq and is a predicted model, not a curated record. Lineage: Eukaryota; Viridiplantae; Streptophyta; Magnoliopsida; Fabales; Fabaceae.